RNAcentral lists this ribosomal RNA (1367 nucleotides) under Thaumetopoea ispartaensis. RNAcentral's name for it is "16S ribosomal RNA". The record is from RNAcentral. Lineage: Eukaryota; Metazoa; Arthropoda; Insecta; Lepidoptera; Notodontidae.
UAGGGGGGAAUUAAUUGGGGAAGUAUAUUUAUAAAAAAAUUUUUAGAAGAUAAAAUAUUUAAUGGGGGUUAAAGUAUUUUAUUAAAAAAAAUUUUUAAAUUUAUAGAUUAUUAUGUAUUGUUAAGGAAUUUUGAAAUAGUUGAAAUAUUUAAUUAUUUUGAAAGUAAAUUUUAUUUGUUGUAUCUUGUGUAUCAGAGUUUAUUAAUAAAAAUUUUUAAGAAAAAAUUUCUCGAAUUUAAAAGAGAAAAUUAAUUAAUAAAUUUAUUGUAGUAAAAAUAUUUUUAAUAAUUAAUUUGAAAUGAAAUGUUAAUCGUUUUUAAAUAUAUCUAGUUUUUUUAGAAAAAAAUUUAAUUUUAAAUUUUUGAAAAAAUUAAAUUAUUUGUUAUUUGAUUUUAAGAAAAAAUUUUAUAUUUUAGGGGAUAAGCUUUAAAUUAGAGGGAUAUAAAUAAGAUUUUUUAUUUAAAAUUUUUAUAAUUUAUAUUGUUAAUAAAUUUUAAUUUGUUAUAAAUAAUUUUAUUUAAAAUUAAAAUUUAAGAAGUUUUUUAUUUUUUUAUAAAAAGGUAAAUUUAAAUUUAAAAAAUUUAGUUAUAAUGAUAAAAUUAGUAUAUAAUUUAAUUGUAAUAUGUUUAAACCUAUAAAUAAAUUAGUUUUAAGGAAUUCGGCAAAUUUAUGUAUUCACUUGUUUAUCAAAAACAUGUCUUUUUGUAAAUAAUUUAAAGUCUAAUCUGCCCACUGAUUUUUAAUUAAAGGGCUGCAGUAUUUUGACUGUACAAAGGUAGCAUAAUCAGUAGUCAUUUAAUUGAUGACUUGUAUGAAAGAUUGGAUGAAAUAUAGACUGUCUUAAGAUUAAAAUUAAAAUUUAAUUUUUUAAUUAAAAAGUUAAAAUAUUUUAAAAAGACGAGAAGACCCUAUAGAGUUUAAUAUAAUAUUUUUAUUAAGAUUAUUUGUAAAAUAAAGAUUUAAAUUUGUAUAAUAUAUUUAAUUGGGGUGAUUAAAAAAUAUAAUUAACUUUUUUUAGGGAUAAACAUGAAUUAAUGAUUGAAUGAUCCAGUAUUUAUUGAUUAUAAGAAAAAAUUACCUUAGGGAUAACAGCGUAAUUUUUUUUUUUAGUUCAUAUAAAAAAAAAAGUUUGCGACCUCGAUGUUGGAUUAAAAUAAAAUUUAAAUGUAAAAGUUUAAGUUUUUGAUCUGUUCGAUCAUUAAAAUCUUACAUGAUCUGAGUUCAAACCGGUGUAAGCCAGGUUGGUUUCUAUCUUUUAGUAAAUAAAAUAUUUUAGUACGAAAGGAAUAAAUAUUUAAAUUAUAUAUUUAAUAUAUUAGGAAUUUUAUUAAUUUAAUUUUAUAUUUAAAUUUAAGUAAAAAGUUAUU